GUCCAGCUAAGGCAUGUUGUUCACUGUAACUCCGACACAUCUCCUCGUCCUCGUCAGCUGCAAGCGAUACGUACAGAAAACAGGAAUUUUUUGUCGGCCAUCCCCAGCCGUGGGCCCCUGAAUGAUCAACACCUUUCACCUCACCACUAAAGAUGCAGCAGAGCCUCACAUUUAUUUUAUGGCCACAGAAGCAAACAGCACAGAAUGUGGUCGACAUGUCUAGACUGACAGAUAGAUCUACAGUUUCAGAAGCUGAGGCCCUCAUGCUGUGGGACACAUUUUCAUGCUCUGGAUCUGGAUCGUCACCGCACCGGGGCUAAGACAA
This is a long non-coding RNA of Lates calcarifer (barramundi perch), 325 nucleotides long. RefSeq lists it as uncharacterized. The transcript has 4 exons. The record is from RefSeq and is a predicted model, not a curated record. NCBI's taxonomy places the organism in Eukaryota, Metazoa, Chordata, Actinopteri, Centropomidae.